RNAcentral lists this long non-coding RNA (1906 nucleotides) under Penaeus japonicus. RNAcentral's name for it is "uncharacterized LOC122243333". The record is from RNAcentral. Lineage: Eukaryota; Metazoa; Arthropoda; Malacostraca; Decapoda; Penaeidae.
AUAUAUAUAUAUAUAUGUAUAUAUCUGUUGCAACAUCCUAUAUUUGAAAGAUAUUAGUUUUUACUAGACAGGCUUACUACUAUACACAAGAAUUAAUCUUGGCGAUGAUACACUUAUCACGUUAGUAUGAAUAUAUUUAAGAUUAUGAUGUGUAACACUAUAUACAAUUAGAAUAAGGCCCAAAAUACACACACUAGAUAAUGGUAAGACCUACAGUAAUACUAAGGGGACUUGAAAUAUUUAUAUGUCAUAGAACAGAGAGAUAAACACGUGGCAUUAACUCAGAAUGAUAGUACAUCAACAAAGGCACAGAUGCCAAUUCUACCUGUCUGCCGAGGACAGAGAUCUUCAAGGGAUGAGUUGGAGUGAAUCAAAGUGUGUCUUGAAGUCUGUUAGAAUGUAAGAGUUUGUCUAUCAGAAUAUAUGCAAUAUGAUUUAUGACACAUUGCUAAUGACUGUAUUCUCGGUAGGCGGAGCUUGAUUUUAAAUCAGCGGUCUGGGGCGUGGCUUUGCCUAGCCCCGAUUGGUCGAGAGGUAGCGGUCAUGGUUUAAAGGUCGGCCUUCCGAGCGACUUCCAACAGGGCACUCAAAACCCUUUAAGGUCUAAGUUGGUACGACGCAACCUGAUCCACCUGUAAGCAUUGCUCGCUGAUCUCUGCUAGGAUAUUUGGGACUGUUGAAAGGGUCAUCUAACGCAGCACCGAUAUCUGAUUGUAUCUUUUCCACGCAUAUGAGGUAAUUCUACUUUGUAGCUAAUUUUAAACUGUAUACUUCUUUAGUAAUAAAUACUUUCGUAUGAUAUAUAUAUAUAUAUAUAUAUAUAUAUAUAUAUAUAUAUAUAUAUAUAUAUAUAUAUGUAUGUAUGUAUAUAAGUGUGUGUGUGCAUGUGAAUAUAUGUAUGUAUAAUAUACGCUGACUUCUACUCCGACUGUUUAGUCGUACAUUACAUAAAGAAAGUAAGCCAAGUAGUAUGAUCGCCGCAUCCAUUUGCGUUCUCCUUGGUUUCUUUAUCUUCGUAAUUUUUGCAUUACAUGUGACUGAGCAUCAUAUGUUCCUGAGCUACGCACACACAUAACAUGCUUCAGUAUAUCAAGUGAGAAAUUGUUGUUUGUGAAUAUAUGAAAUCAGUGUCCACAAAGAAUAUAUGCUGCUGAUUUAAGCAUAUAAUUGCACCCUCCCGAUUCUGCAUUUGCACUGGACAUCAUUUAAAGAAAUUAGGAAUAAUUGCUAGACUCCCACGACAUCCCAUCCCUGAUUAAUCUUAUGGCUGAUGCAGAGAGAGGGAGUUUAAUACCAACAAAGGCAGUGAAGUCCAUCCAUUGCUUGCUGUAAAGUGGGAAAGUAUUACUACUUGCCAAGAAUGAUCUUCAAAAGUAGAUUUUAAGAUUUCUGAUUAUUUUUUUCUCGAUAGGAUUCCGUGAAUGUUUAAUGUCUUUAGGCUAUAACACAUAUCUUAUCUAUUUAUUUGAUUUUUGGACAAUAUCUUUUAGUAGGAAAUAGUCAAAUUCCUACAAAGACGAAUCAUUUCUCUAUAAUUAAACGGUAUUUUUGUAUCUUUUCUACUAGUUAUAUAUGUAUAUAUCAUAUAUAUGUGUGUAUAUACAUACAAUAUAUAUAUAUAUAUAUAUAUAUAUACAUAUAUAUACAUAUAGAUAGACAGAUAGAUAGAUAGAUAGAUAGAUAUACAUAUAUAUCAUAUAUAUACAUAUUUGUACAUAUAAAUGGGACUGUUGAAAGGGUCAUCUAACACAGCACCGAUAUCUGAUUGUAUCUUUUCCACUCAUAUGAGGUAAUUCUAUUUUGUAGCUAAUUUUGAACUGUAUACUUCUUUAGUAAUGAAUACUUUCAUAUAAUAUAUAUAUAUAUAUAUAUAUAUAUAUAUAUAUAUAUAUAUAUAUAUAUAUAU